This 460-nucleotide ribosomal RNA is filed under the name uncultured bacterium. RNAcentral describes it as "partial 16S ribosomal RNA". It matches the Rfam family "Bacterial small subunit ribosomal RNA", at positions 338 to 795 of the family's 1533-position model. The record is from RNAcentral.
CCUACGGGGUGCAGCAGUGAGGAAUAUUGGUCAAUGGACGAGAGUCUGAACCAGCCAAGUAGCGUGAAGGAUGACUGCCCUAUGGGUUGUAAACUUCUUAUAUAUGGGAAUAACAUGUUCCACGUGUGGGAUUUUGUAUGUACCAUAUGAAUAAGGAUCGGCUAACUCCGUGCCAGCAGCCGCGGUAAUACGGAGGAUCCGAGCGUUAUCCGGAUUGAUUGGGUUUAAAGGGAGCGUAGGUGGAUUGUUAAGUCAGUUGUGAAAGUUUGCGGCUCAACCGUAAAAUUGCAGUUGAAACUGGCAGUCUUGAGUACAGUAGAGGUGGGCGGAAUGCGUGGUGUAGCGGUGAAAUGCUUAGAUAUCACGAAGAACUCCGAUUGCGAAGGCAGCUCACUGGACUGCAACUGACACUGAGGCUCGAAAGUGUGGGUAUCAAACAGGAUUAGAUACCCGAGUAGUC